GGUGAUUGGGGUGCACGGUGUUGGUCUGUGCUAUGCUGUGUUGUUGGGCUGUGUUUUGCAGUCUUGGCAACAGAGCUCACUCCCCACCUGCAGCCAUAGAGCAACUGGGGAUCAUAGUACUGGUCUUUGAUGUCUUCACAGAUAUCUAAUCAUUGACCAGCCUCCAAACUCUCCAACAAAC
This is a small nucleolar RNA of Cyprinodon variegatus (sheepshead minnow), 181 nucleotides long. The record is from Ensembl. NCBI's taxonomy places the organism in Eukaryota, Metazoa, Chordata, Actinopteri, Cyprinodontiformes, Cyprinodontidae.